Molecule: long non-coding RNA, 8992 nt
Filed under: Triticum aestivum (bread wheat)
Lineage: Eukaryota; Viridiplantae; Streptophyta; Magnoliopsida; Poales; Poaceae
Description: long non-coding RNA (TAES_LNC019307)
Source: RNAcentral
GGAUGACGUGGCUACCCUUGGGCACACGGUAGCCCGCAACAAUGGUGUCGGCAAUCGCGACGUGCGGCAGGUUGAAGGGAGCGAUUGGGUGGAGGCGAAAUGCCUCACGUAUGCACGCCUUGAGAUAGUUGAGAUGCAUGAUGUCCGACUCUUGCACCAGUCGCUCGCGACCGACCACCCGGUCCUGUUGGGGAACGUAGCAGAAAUUCAAAAUUUUCCUACGUGUCACCAAGAUCUAUCUAUGGAGAAACCAGCAACGAGGGGAAGGAGAGUGCAUCUACAUACCCUUGUAGAUCGCUAAGCGGAAGCGUUCAAGUGAACGGGGUUGAUGGAGUCGUACUCGUCGUGAUUCAAAUCACCGAUGAUCAAGUGCCGAACGUACGGCACUUCCGCGUUCAACACACGUACAACCCGGUGACGUCUCCCACGCCUUGAUCCAGCAAGGAGAGAGGGAGAGGUUGAGGAAGACUCCAUCCAACAGCAGCACAACGGUGUGGUGGUGGUGGAGGAGCGUGGCAAUCCCGCAGGGCUUCGCCAAGCACCAUGGGAGAGGAGGAGUGGGGAGAGACAGGGCUGCACCAAGAGGGAGAGAACUCAUGUGUAUGGCAGCCCCAAACCUCAACUAUAUAUAGGGGGAAGGGGGGGCUGCGCCCCCUUUAGGGUUUCCCACCCCCAAGGGGUGCGGCCAGCCCUAGAUGGCAAAGGGGGUGGCGGCCAAGAGGGGAGAGGAGAGGGAGGCGCACCAAUAUGGGCCUUAAGGCCCAUCUGGACUAGGGUUUGCCCCCUCCCACUCUCCCUUGCGCCUUGGCCCCCUUGUGGGGGGCGCACCAGCCCUCCUAGGGGCUGGUCCCCUCCCACACUUGGCCCACGCAACCUUCUGGGGCAGGUGGCCCCACUUGGUGGACCCCCGGGACCCUCCCGGUGGUCCCGGUACAAUACCGAUAUCGCCCGAAACUUUUCCGGUGACCAAAACAGGACUUCCCAUAUAUAAAUCUUUACCUCCAGACCAUUCCGGAACUCCUCGUGACGUUCGGGAUCUCAUCCGGGACUCCGAACAACAUUCGGUAACCACAUACAAGCUUCCUUUAUAACCCUAGCGUCACCGAACCUUAAGUGUGUAGACCCUACGGGUUCGGGAGACAUGUAGACAUGACCGAGACGUUCUCCGGUCAAUGACCAACAGCGGGAUCUGGAUACCCAUGAUGGCUCCCACAUGUUCCACGAUGAUCUCAUCGGAUGAACCACGGUGUCAAGGACUUAAUCAAUCCCGUAUUCAAUUCCCUUUGUCUAUCGGUAUGUUACUUGCCCGAGACUCGAUCGUCGGCAUCCAAUACCUUGUUCAAUCUCGUUACCGGCAAGUCACUUUACUCGUUCCGUAACACAUCAUCCCGUGAUCAACUCCUUGGUCACAUUGCGCAUAUGAUGAUGUCCUACUGAGUGGGCCCAGAGAUACCUCUCCGUUUACACGGAGUGACAAAUCCCAGUCUCGAUCCGCAUAAAACAAUGGAUACUUUCGGAGAUACCUGUAGUGCACCUUUAUAGUCACCCAGUUACGUUGUGACGUUUGAUACACCCAAAGCACUCCUACGGUAUCCAGGAGUUACACGCUCUCAUGGUCAAAGGAAGAGAUACUUGACAUUUGGCAAAGCUCUAGCAAACGAACUACACGAUCUUUGUGCUAGGCUUAGGAUUGGGUCUUGUCCAUCACAUCAUUCUCCUAAUGAUGUGAUCCCGUUAUCAACGACAUCCAAUGUCCAUAGCCAGGAAACCAUGACUAUCUGUUGAUCACAACGAGCUAGUCAACUAGAGGCUCACUAGGGACAUGGUGUUGUCUAUGUAUUCACACGUGUAUUACGAUUUCCGGAUAAUACAGUUAUAGCAUGAAUAAAAGACUAUUAUCAUGAACAAAGAAAUAUAAUAAUAAUCAAUUUAUUAUUGCCUCUUGGGCAUAUUUCCAACAGUCUCCCAGUUGCACUAGAGUCAAUAAUCCAGUUCACAUCGCCAUGUGAUUAACACUCACAGGUCACAUCGCCAUGUGACUAAUACCCAAGAGUUUACUAGAGUCAGUAGUCUAGUUCACAUCACUAUGUGAUUAACACUCAAUGAGUUUUAUGUUUGAUCAUGUUGCUUGUGAGAGAGGUUUUAGUCAACGGGUCUGAACCUUUCAGAUCCGUGUGUGCUUUACAAAUCUCUAUGUCAUCUCCUAGAUGCAGCUACCACGCUCUAUUUGGAGCUAUUCCAAAUAACUGUUCUACUUGGAGCUAUUCUAAAUUAUUGCUCCAUUAUAUGUAUCCGGUCUCUCUACUCAGAGCUAUCGGAUAGGUGUCAAGCUUGCAUCGACAUAACCCUUUACGACGAACUCUUUUACCACCUCCAUAAUCGAGAAAAUUCCUUAGUCCACUAGUUACUAAGAAUAACUUUGACCGCUGUCCUGUGAGCCAUUCUUGGAUCACUCUUGUACCCCUUGACUAACUCAUGGCAAGGCACACUUCAGGUGCGGUACACAGCAUAGCAUACUGAAGAGCCUACGUCUUAAGCAUAGGGGACGACCUUCGUCCUUUCUCUCUAUUCUGCCGUGGUCGAGCUUUAAGUCUUAACUUCGUACCUUACAACUCAGGCAAGAACUCCUUCUUUGACUGGUCCAUCUUGAACACCUUCAAGAUCAUGUCAAGGUAUGUGCUCAUUUGAAAGUAUUAUUAGGCAUUUUGAUCUAUCCUUAUAGAUCUCGAUGCUCAAUGUUCAAGUAGCUUAAUCCAGGUUUUCUAUUGAAAAACACCUUUCAAAUAACCCUAUAUGCUUUCUAGAAAUUCUACAUCAUUUCUGAUCAACAUAUACUCAUCAGAAAUUCUAUAGUGCUCCCACUCACUUCUUUGGAAAUACAAGUUUCUCAUAUACUCAUCAGAAAAUCUUUGACCAUCAUCAAAGCAUACAUUCCAACUCCGAGAUGCUCACUCCAGUCCUUAAAAGGAUUGCUGGAGCUUUGCAUACUUAUUAGCAUCUUUUGGGAUUGACAAAACCUUCCGGUUGUAUCACAUACAACCUUUCCUCAAUAAAAUCAUCGAGGAAACAAUGUUUUGACAUCCUAUCUGCAGGAUUUCAUAAAUAAUGCAGUAAUCGCUAAUAUAAUUCCAACAGACUCUUAGCAUCGCUACGAGUGAGAAAAUCUCAUCGUAGUCAACUCCUUGAACUUGUCGGAAAACAUCUUAACGACAAGUCGAGCUUUCUUAAUGGUGACAUUUACCAUCAUUGUUCGUCUUCCUUUUGAAAUCCAUCUGUACUCAUUAGCCUUACGACCAUCGAGCCAUUUUGCCAAAGUCUACACUUUGUUUUCAUACAUGGAUCCUCUCUCGGAUUUUAUGGCCUCAAGCCAUUUAUCGGAAUCCGGGCCCACCAUCGCUUCUCCAUAGCUCGUAGGUUCAUUGUUGUCUAGCAACAUGACUUCCAAGACAGGAUUACCGUACCACUCUGAAGUAGUACGUAUCCUUGUCACCCUACGAGGUACGGCAGUGAUUUGAUCUGAAACUUCAUGAUCAAUAUCAUAAGCUUCCACUUCAAUUGGUGUAUGUGCCACGGGAACAACUUCCUGUGCCCUGCUACACACUGGUUGAAGUGAUGGUUCAAUAACCUCAUCAAGUCUCCACCAUCCUCCCACUCAACUCUUUCGAGAGAAACCUUUCCUCGAGAAAGGACCCGAUUCUAGAAACAAUUCAUAUUGCUUUCGGAUCUGAAUUAGGAGGUAUACCCAACUGUUUUGGGUGUCCUAUGAAGAUGUAUUUUAUCCGCUUUGGGUUCGAGCUUAUCAAUCCUGAAACUUUUUCACAUAAGCGUCACAGCCCCAAACCUUUAAGAAACGACAACUUAGGUUUCUCCAAAUGGUGUCGUCUCAACGGAAUUAUGUGGUGCCCUAUUUAAAGUGAAUGUGGUUGUCUCUAAUGCCUAACCCAUGAACGAUAGUGGUAAUUCGAUAAGAGACAUCAUGGUACGCACCAUAUCCAAUAGGGUGCAACUAUGAUGUUCGGACACACCAUCACACUAUGGUGUUCCAGGCAGUAUUAAUUGCGAAACAAUUUCCACAAUGUCUUAAUUGUGUGCCAAAACUCCUAACUCAGAUAUUCAUCUCUAUGAUCAUAUCAUAGACAUUUAAUCCUCUUGUCACAAUGAUCUUCUACUUUACUCUGAAAUUACUUGAACCAUUCAAUAACUCAGACUUGUGUUUCAUCAAGUAAAUAUUCUCAACAUCUACUCAAAUCAUCUGUGAAGUAAGAACAUAACGAUAUUCACUGCAUGCCUCAGCACUCAUUGGACUGCACACAUCAAAAUGUGUUGCUUCCAACAAGUUGCUAUCUUGUUCCAUUUUACUGAAAACGAGGCUUUUCAGUCAUCUUGCCCAUGUGGUAUGAUUUGCAUAUCUCAAGUGAUUCAAAAUCAAGUGAGUCCAAACGGUCCAUUUGCAUGGAGUUUCUUCAUGCAUAUACACCAACAGACAUGGUUCGCAUGUCUCAAACUUUUCAAAAAUGAGUGAGUCCAAAGAUCCAUCAACAUGGAGCUUCUUCAUGCGUUUUAAACCAAUAUGACUUACAUGGCAGUGCCACCAGUAAGUGGUACUAUCAUUACUAUCUUUUGGCAUGAAAAUGUGUAUCACUACGAUCGAGAUUCAAUAAACCAUUUUAGGUGCAAGACCACUGAAGGUAUUAUUCACAUAAAUAGAGUAACUAUUAUUCUCCUUAAAUGAAUAACCGUAUUGCGAUAGACAUAAUCCAAUCAUGUCUAUGCUCAACGCAAACACACAAUGAACGUUAUUCAGGUUUAAUACUAAUCUUGAUGGUAGAGGGAGCGUACGAUGUUUGAUCACAUCAGACUUGGAAACACUUCCAACACAUAUCGUCAGCUCUCCUUUAGCUAGUCUCCGUUUAUUCCGUAGCUUUUAUUUCGAGUUACUAACACUUAGCAACCGAACCGGUAUCUAAUACCCUGGUGCUACUAGGAGUACUAGUAAAGUACACAUUAACAUAAUGUAUAUCCAAUAUACUUCUAUCGACUUUGCCAGCCUUCUCAUCUACCAAGUAUCUAGGGUAAUUCUGCUCCAGUGGCUGUUCCCCUUAUUACAGAAGCACUUAGUCUCGGGUUUUGGGUUCAACCUUGGGUCUCUUCACUAGAGUAGCAGCUGAAUUGCCGUUUCAUGAAGUAUCCCUUUGUUCCCUUGCCCUUCUUGAAACUAGUGGUUUCACCAACCAUCAACAAUUGAUGCUCUUUCUUGAUUUCUACUUUCGCGGUGUCAAACAUCGCGAAUACCUCAAGGAUCAUCAUAUCUAUCCCUGAUAUGUUAUAGUUCAUCACGAAGCUCUAGCAGCUUGGUGGCAAUGACUUUGGAGAAACAUCACUAUCUCAUUUGGAAGAUCAACUCCCACUCGAUUCAAGUGAUUGUUGCACUCAGACAAUCUGAGCAGAAGCUCAACGAUUGAGAUUUUCUCCCUUAGUUUGUAGGCUAAGAAAAUUGUCGGAGGUCUUAUACCUCUUGACGUGGGCACGAGCCUGAAAUCCCAAUUUCAGCCCUCGAAGCAUCUCAUAUGUUUCGCGAUGUUUCGAAAACGUCUUUCGUGCCUCAACUCUAAACCGUUUAACUGAACUAUCACGUAGUUAUCAAGACGUGUAUGUCCGAUGUUCACAACAUCCACAAACGACGUUUGGGGUUCAGCAUACUGAGCGGUGCAUUAAGGACAUAAGCUUUCUACUGAUCGCAUAAUCGCUACUAUUAACUUUCAACUAUAAUUUUCUCUAGGAACAUAUCUAAACAGUAGAACUAUAGCGCGAGCUACGACAUAAUUUGCAAAAGGUCUUUUGACUAUGUUCAGGAUAAUUAAGUUCAUCUUAUGAACUCCCACUCAGAUAGACAUCCCUCUGGUCAUCUAAGUGAUCACAUGAUCCGAGUCAACUAGGCCGUGUCCGAUCAUCACGUGAGACGGACUAGUCAUCAUCGGUGAACAUCUUCAUGUUGAUCGUAUCUUCUAUACGACUCAUGCUCGACCUUUCGGUCUCCGUGUUCCGAGGCCAUGUCUGCACAUGCUAGGAUCAUCAAGUUAACCCUAAGUGUUUCCGCUGUGUAAAACUGUCUUACACCCGUUGUAUGUGAACGUAAGAAUCCAUCACACCCGAUCAUCACGUGGUGCUUAGAAGCGACAAACUGUAGCAACGGUGCACAACUAGGGGAGAACACUUCUUGAAAUUUUGUAAGGGAUCAUCUUAUUUACUACCGUCGUCCUAAGUAAACAAGAUGCAUAAUCAUAAUAAACAUCACAUGCAAUUAUAUAGUUGUGACAUGAUAUGGCCAAUAUCAUAUAGCUCCAUUGAUCUCCAUCUUCGGGGCUCCAUGAUCAUCUUGUCACCGGCUUGACACCAUGAUCUCCAUCAUCAUGAUCUCCAUCAUCGUGUCUUCAUGAAGUUGUCACGCCAAUGACUACUUCUACUUCUAUGGCUAACGCGUUUAGCAAUAAAGUAAAGUAAGUUACAUGGCGUUCUUCAAUGACACGCAGGUCAUACAAUAAAUUAAAGACAACUCCUAUGGCUCCUGCCGGUUGUCAUACUCAUCGACAUGGAAGUCGUGAAUCCUAUUACAAGAACAUGAUCAAUCUCAUACAUCACAUAUCAUUCAUCACAUUCUUCUUGGCCAUAUCACAUCACAUAGCAUACCCUGCAAAAACAAGUUAGACGUCCUCUAAUUGUUGUUUGCAUGUUUUACGUGGCUGCUAUGGGUUUCUAGCAAGAACGUUUCUUACCUACGCAAUACCACAACGUGAUAUGCCAAUUGCUAUUUACCCUUCAUAAGGACCCUUUUCAUCGAAUCCGUUCCGACUAAAGUGGGAGAGACUGGCACCCGCUAGCCACCUUAUGCACCAAGUGCAUGUCAAUCGAUGGAACCUGUCUCACGUAAGAGUACGUGUAAGGUCGGUCCGGGCCGCUUCAUCCCACAAUACCGUCGAAACAAGAUUGGACUAGUAACGGUAAGCAUAUUGAACAAAAUCAACGCCCACAACUACUUUGUGUUCUACUCGUGCAAAGAAUCUACGCAAUAGACCUAGCUCAUGAUGCCACUGUUGGGGAACGUAGCAGAAAUUCAAAAUUUUCCUACGUGUCACCAAGAUCUAUCUAUGGAGAAACCAGCAACGAGGGGAAGGAGAGUGCAUCUACAUACCCUUGUAGAUCGCUAAGCGGAAGCGUUCAAGUGAACGGGGUUGAUGGAGUCGUACUCGUCGUGAUUCAAAUCACCGAUGAUCAAGUGUCGAACGUACGGCACCUCCGCGUUCAACACACGUACAGCCCGGUGACGUUUCCCACGCCUUGAUCCAGCAAGGAGAGAGGGAGAGGUUGAGGAAGACUCCAUCCAACAGCAGCACAACGGCGUGGUGGUGGUGGAGGAGCGUGGCAAUCCCGCAGGGCUUCGCCAAGCACCAUGGGAGAGGAGGAGUGGGGAGAGACAGGGCUGCACCAAGAGGGAGAGAACUCAUGUGUAUGGCAGCCCCAAACCUCAACUAUAUAUAGGGGGAAGGAGGGGCUGCGCCCCCUUUAGGGUUUCCCACCCCCAAGGGGUGCGGCCAGCCCUAGAUGGCAAAGGGGGUGGCGGCCAAGAGGGGAGAGGAGAGGGAGGCGCACCAAUAUGGGCCUUAAGGCCCAUCUGGACUAGGGUUUGCCCCCUCCCACUCUCCCUUGUGCCUUGGCCCCCUUGUGGGGGGCGCACCAGCCCUCCUAGGGGCUGGUCCCCUCCCACACUUGGCCCACGCAAUCUUCUGGGGCAGGUGGCCCCACUUGGUGGACCCCCGGGACCCUCCCGGUGGUUCCGGUACAAUACCGAUAUCGCCCGAAACUUUUCCGGUGACCAAAACAGGACUUCCCAUAUAUAAAUCUUUACCUCCGGACCAUUCCGGAACUCCUCGUGACGUCCGGGAUCUCAUCCGGGACUUCGAACAACAUUCGGUAACCACAUACAAGCUUCCUUUAUAACCCUAGCGUCACCGAACCUUAAGUGUGUAGACCCUAUGGGUUCGGGAGACAUGUAGACAUGACCGAGACGUUCUCCGGUCAAUAACCAACAGCGGGAUCUGGAUAUCCAUGAUGGCUCCCACAUGUUCCACGAUGAUCUCAUCGGAUGAACCACGAUGUCAAGGACUUAAUCAAUCCCGUAUUCAAUUCCCUUUGUCUAUCGGUAUGUUACUUGCCCGAGACUCGAUCGUCGGCAUCCAAUACCUUGUUCAAUCUCGUUACCGGCAAGUCACUUUACUCGUUCCGUAACACAUCAUCCCGUGAUCAACUCCUUGGUCACAUUGCGCAUAUGAUGAUGUCCUACCGAGUGGGCCCAGAGAUACCUCUCCGUUUACACGGAGUGACAAAUCCCAGUCUCGAUCCGCAUAAAACAAUAGAUACUUUCGAAGAUACUUGUAGUGCACCUUUAUAGUCACCCAGUUACGUUGUGAUGUUUGAUACACCCAAAGCACUCCUACGGUAUCUAGGAGUUACACGCUCUCAUGGUCAAAGGAAGAGAUACUUGACAUUUGGCAAAGCUCUAGCAGACGAACUACACGAUCUUUGUGCUAGGCUUAGGAUUGGGUCUUGUCCAUCACAUCAUUCUCCUAAUGAUGUGAUCCCGUUAUCAACGACAUCCAAUGUCCAUAGCCAGAAAACCAUGACUAUCUGUUGAUCACAACGAGCUAGUCAACUAGAGGCUCACUAGGGACAUGGUGUUGUCUAUGUAUUCACACGUGUAUUAUGAUUUCCGGAUAAUACAGUUAUAGCAUGAAUAAAAGACUAUUAUCAUGAACAAAGAAAUAUAAUAAUAAUCAAUUUAUUAUUGCCUCUAGGGCAUACUUCCAACAGGUCCAUCUCCUCCACCGCCUUGGCCAGCAAUUCUGGGUUGUUCACCAUCUCCGCCAGCGCCCACUCCACUGCGUUUGACGGGUUAUCUAUGGCCGCUAAUAUUAUGCCCUGCAUGCAUUCCAUGGAG